GUGCCCGUAGCUCAAUUGGAUAGAGUGCAGGCCUCCGGAGCCUGAGGCUGUGGGUUCGAUUCCCGCCGGGCACA
This 74-nucleotide transfer RNA is filed under the name Candidatus Delongbacteria bacterium. RNAcentral describes it as "tRNA-Arg". It matches the Rfam family "tRNA". Rfam says of the family: Transfer RNA (tRNA) molecules are approximately 80 nucleotides in length. Their secondary structure includes four short double-helical elements and three loops (D, anti-codon, and T loops). Further hydrogen bonds mediate the characteristic L-shaped molecular structure. tRNAs have two regions of fundamental functional importance: the anti-codon, which is responsible for specific mRNA codon recognition, and the 3' end, to which the tRNAs corresponding amino acid is attached (by aminoacyl-tRNA synthetases). tRNAs cope with the degeneracy of the genetic code in two manners: having more than one tRNA (with a specific anti-codon) for a particular amino acid; and 'wobble' base-pairing, i.e. permitting non-standard base-pairing at the 3rd anti-codon position. Lineage: Bacteria; Candidatus Delongiibacteriota. The record is from RNAcentral.